Molecule: ribosomal RNA, 446 nt
Filed under: uncultured bacterium
Lineage: Bacteria
Description: bacterial SSU rRNA
Rfam family: Bacterial small subunit ribosomal RNA
Source: RNAcentral
AGCCAGACUCCUACGGGAGGCAGCAGUGGGGGAUAUUGCACAAUGGGGGAAACCCUGAUGCAGCGACGCCGCGUGAAGGAAGAAGUAUUUCGGUAUGUAAACUUCUAUCAGCAGGGAAGAAAAUGACGGUACCUGACUAAGAAGCCCCGGCUAACUACGUGCCAGCAGCCGCGGUAAUACGUAGGGGGCAAGCGUUAUCCGGAUUUACUGGGUGUAAAGGGAGCGUAGGCGGCGAUGCAAGUCAGAAGUGAAAGCCCGGGGCUCAACUCCGGGACUGCUCUGGAAACUGUGAAGCUGGAGUGCAGGAGAGGUAAGCGGAAUUCCUGGUGUAGCGGUGAAAUGCGUAGAUAUCAGGAGGAACACCGGCGGCGAAGGCGGCUUACUGGACUGUAACUGACGUUGAGGCUCGAAGGCGUGGGGAGCAAACAGGAUUAGAUACCCGAGUA